AGCAGUCGCCGCGGUAAUACGGAGGGGGCUAGCGUUGUUCGGAAUUACUGGGCGUAAAGCGCACGUAGGCGGCUUGGUAAGUUAGAGGUGAAAGCCCGGAGCUCAACUCCGGAAUUGCCCUUGAUACUGGAAGUCUUGAGUAUGUGAGAGGUGAGUGGAACUGCGAGUGUAGAGGUGAAAUUUGUAGAUAUUCGCAAGAACACCAGUGGCGGAGGCGGCUCACUGGCCCAUAACUGACGCUGAGGCACGAAAGCGUGGGGAGCAAACAGGAUUAGAUACCCGCGUAGUCCCUGUCUCUUAUAC
RNAcentral lists this ribosomal RNA (303 nucleotides) under uncultured bacterium. RNAcentral describes it as "partial 16S ribosomal RNA". It matches the Rfam family "Bacterial small subunit ribosomal RNA", at positions 507 to 807 of the family's 1533-position model. The record is from RNAcentral.